GAUGAACGCUAGCGGCAGGCUUAACACAUGCAAGUCGAGCGAGAAGUUGUUUUCUGACCUCGGACACCGGCGGACGGGUGAGUAACAUGUAUGCAACUUUCCUCUAUCACUGGGAUAACCCGGGUAAACCCGGACUAAUCCCUCUUCCCAAAUGUAUCUUCAUGGAUUUAUUUUAAAAGUUUUAUCGGAUAUUGAUAGGCGUGCGUUGGAUUAGUUAGUUGGUGAGGUAACGGCUCACCAAGACUGUGAUCCUUAGCUGGCCUGAGAGGGUGACCCCCGCGACGGGUAAUGAGACACAGACUAGACUCCUACGGGAGGGAGCAGUGAGGAAGACUAGACAGGGGGGGAGAGCCUGAUCCAGCCGUGCCGCGUGCAAGAAGACGGCGCUAGGGGAUGUAUACUGCUUUUAGAGAGGAAUAAACCUAUUAACGUGUGAGUAGUUGAAGGUACCGGAAGAAUAAGCAUCGGCUAACUACGUG
This 479-nucleotide ribosomal RNA is filed under the name uncultured bacterium. RNAcentral's name for it is "partial 16S ribosomal RNA". It matches the Rfam family "Bacterial small subunit ribosomal RNA", at positions 28 to 507 of the family's 1533-position model. The record is from RNAcentral.